RNAcentral lists this ribosomal RNA (2142 nucleotides) under Triticum aestivum (bread wheat). RNAcentral describes it as "partial small subunit ribosomal RNA". Lineage: Eukaryota; Viridiplantae; Streptophyta; Magnoliopsida; Poales; Poaceae. The record is from RNAcentral.
AUGGAAUGCGAGAAUGCACACAUUGCAGCCAACGGAGAUGGCUUGUGCGUGGCGCAGCCGGCGCGGGCCGACCCACUGAACUGGGGGAAGGCGGCGGAGGAGCUCUCGGGGAGCCAUUUGGAUGCGGUGAAGCGGAUGGUAAAAGAGUACCGUAAGCCGGUGGUGACCAUGGAGGGCGCCAGCCUGACCAUCGCCAUGGUCGCCGCGGUGGCUGCCGGCAGCGACACCAGGGUGGAGCUCGACGAGUCCGCCCGCAGCCGCGUCAAGGAGAGCAGCGACUGGGUCAUGAACAGCAUGAUGAACGGCACCGACAGCUACGGCGUCACCACCGGCUUCGGCGCCACCUCUCACCGGAGGACCAAGGAGGGCGGCGCUCUGCAGAGGGAGCUCAUUAGAUUCCUUAACGCGGGAGCCUUCGGCACCGGCACCGACGGCCACGUUCUACCUGCCGCGGCGACGAGGGCCGCGAUGCUCGUCCGAGUCAAUACCUUGCUCCAGGGAUAUUCAGGCAUCCGCUUCGAGAUCCUGGAGACGAUCGCCACACUUCUCAACGCCAACGUGACACCAUGCCUACCGCUUCGAGGCACGAUCACCGCGUCGGGUGACCUCGUCCCGCUUUCGUACAUCGCCGGCCUGGUCACCGGCCGCCCAAACUCCAUGGCGACGGCUCCAGAUGGUACGAAGGUUAAUGCUGCGAAGGCAUUUAAGAUCGCUGGCAUCCAGCACGGCUUCUUCGAGCUGCAGCCCAAGGAAGGCCUUGCCAUGGUGAAUGGUACGGCAGUGGGCUCAGGGCUUGCAUCCAUGGUGCUUUUCGAGGCCAACGUCCUUAGCCUCCUUGCUGAGGUCUUGUCGGCCGUCUUCUGUGAGGUCAUGAAUGGCAAGCCGGAGUACACCGACCACUUGACCCACAAGUUGAAGCACCACCCCGGGCAAAUUGAGGUUGCCGCCAUCAUGGAGCACAUCCUUGAAGGCAGCUCCUACAUGAUGCUCGCAAAGAAGCUCGGGGAGCUUGACCCACUGAUGAAGCCAAAGCAAGAUAGGUAUGCACUCCGCACGUCGCCGCAGUGGCUUGGCCCUCAGAUUGAAGUCAUCCGUGCUGCCACCAAGUCAAUCGAGCGGGAGAUCAAUUCCGUCAACGACAACCCACUCAUCGAUGUCUCGCGCGGCAAAGCUAUCCAUGGUGGCAACUUCCAGGGCACGCCCAUCGGUGUGUCCAUGGACAACACCAGGCUUGCCAUUGCUGCGAUCGGCAAGCUCAUGUUUGCCCAGUUCUCGGAGCUGGUGAACGACUUCUACAACAACGGUCUGCCUUCCAACCUCUCCGGCGGGCGCAACCCAAGCUUGGACUAUGGCUUCAAGGGUGCCGAGAUUGCCAUGGCCUCGUACUGCUCUGAGCUCCAAUUCUUGGGCAACCCUGUGACCAACCAUGUCCAGAGCGCGGAGCAACACAACCAAGAUGUCAACUCUCUUGGUCUCAUCUCCUCAAGGAAGACCGCAGAGGCCAUUGACAUAUUGAAGCUCAUGUCCUCGACAUUCUUGGUCGCGUUGUGCCAGGCUAUCGACCUUCGCCACCUCGAGGAGAAUGUCAAGAAUGCUGUCAAGAGCUGCGUGAAGACGGUGGCUAGGAAGACACUGAGCACUGAUAACAAUGGUCAUCUCCACAAGGCACGCUUCUGCGAGAAGGACCUUCUGCUCACAAUCGACCGUGAAGCCGUGUUCGCGUACGCAGAUGACCCCUGCAGCGCCAACUACCCCCUCAUGCAGAAGAUGCGUGCAGUUCUUGUGGAGCACGCCUUGGCCAAUGGUGAGGCCGAGCGCGACGUGGAGACAUCGGUGUUUGCCAAGCUUGCCAUGUUCGAGCAGGAGCUCCGUGCAGUGUUGCCAAAGGAGGUCGAGGCCGCCCGCAGUGCCGUGGAGAAUGGCACUGCAGCACAACAAAACCGUAUCGCCGAUUGUCGGUCGUACCCGCUCUACCGGUUCGUGCGCAAGGAGCUUGGAACAGAGUAUUUGACCGGGGAGAAGACGCGGUCUCCUGGAGAAGAGGUAGACAAGGUGUUCGUUGCCAUGAACCAGGGCAAGCACAUCGACGCGCUGCUGGAGUGUCUCAAGGAGUGGAACGGCGAGCCCCUACCUAUCUGUUGA